RNAcentral lists this ribosomal RNA (434 nucleotides) under uncultured bacterium. RNAcentral describes it as "partial 16S ribosomal RNA". It matches the Rfam family "Bacterial small subunit ribosomal RNA", at positions 29 to 507 of the family's 1533-position model. The record is from RNAcentral.
AGCGAACGCUGGCGGCAGGCCUAACACAUGCAAGUCGAACGAACCUUUCGUAGGUGGUUGCGGACGGGUGUGUCACACGUCGGAACGUUCAUUUAUGUUCGGGAUACCUCAUGGACACGGGUGCUAAUACCGAAUGUGCCCUGCUGGUGAAGGAUUUAUCGCCUUUAGAGCGGCACGCGUCUGCUUAGCUAUUUGGUUGAGGUAAUGGCUCACCAGGGCUACGAUCAGUAGGUGGUAUGAGAGAAUGAUCAGAGACAUUGGGACUGAGACGCGGCACAAACUCCUACGGGAGGGGGGAGUGGGGGAUCUUGCGAAACGGGCGAAAGGCUGACGCAGCUAGGCCGGGUGAAUGAUGAAGGUCUUAGGAAAGAAAAAUUCUUUAACCGGGGACGAUAAUGACGGUACCCAGAGAAGAAGCCCCGGCUAACUUCGUG